GCUCCAAACACCAGCUGGGAUUCCAAAGCAAAAGUCUUACCUCCCUGGGUGUUUGAGUCAUCCUGAAGGCAGCAUGUGCUACUGAUGAGAGCUCGGGAUUGGAAUCAUGAAUGGUCUUGGAUUCCAAUCCUGCCAUGUGUCAGCUGUGUAUCACCGACGACAACAGAGAAUGCUUCUGUCUUGCUUUUGUCAACUGUAAGAUGACGUUCACAACAGUGCCAGCGCUACCACGGCCACAAUAGAGUCAGCUGUACUCAAGACAGAGGAAGACGCCAUGAUGUCAACUGUACUGAUGGAUACCUAGGAAUCUAAGAUGAGGGCUGGGGAGAUGGCUCAGGUGGCAAAGU
Molecule: non-coding RNA, 347 nt
Organism: Mus caroli (Ryukyu mouse)
Lineage: Eukaryota; Metazoa; Chordata; Mammalia; Rodentia; Muridae
Source: RefSeq, a predicted model, not a curated record